This 1478-nucleotide unclassified non-coding RNA is filed under the name uncultured fungus. RNAcentral's name for it is "sequence contains 18S rRNA gene, ITS1, 5.8S rRNA gene, ITS2, 28S rRNA gene". The stretch from base 496 to 1478 matches the Rfam family "Eukaryotic large subunit ribosomal RNA", at positions 1 to 961 of the family's 3401-position model. The record is from RNAcentral. Lineage: Eukaryota; Fungi.
GGAAGGAUCAUUCACACAUUGGUUAUCUGAUACUUUUACCAUGAACUCGUGUCUCACUUAGUGCAGUGUUGCACGGCCCCCUGGCGUCCCAUGGCGUCCCAGGGUGGUUUGGUGGGACGAUGGCUCACUUAACAAGGAUUUGACGACAAACUAGAUUGUCAAACUUUCAGCAAUGGACGUCUUGGUUCCCAAUUCGAUGAAGGACGCAGCGAAUUGCGAUAAGCAGUGCGAAUUGCAGAAAUCUGUGAACCAUCAGACCUCUGAACGCAUAUGGCACUUAUGGGACCCGUUCUCAGAGUGUGCUUGGCUCAGUGUAUCCUAACCUUCACAACAAAAUUUAGGGCUGACGUCGUGGUUCACGGUGCACGCAAUGUGCACGUGAUAUUCCGUCGCCAAUGAAGAUAAAACUGUAGUUCUCUGCAUUUGAGGUUGAGAUAUCUGUAUCACGUCACAAAUUGCACGGUUCACCAGUUUAAGAAUAUUCAUUCUCUUUAGUUACCUGAGCUCACGCAAGGCAACCCGCUGAAUUUAAGCAUAUAAUUAAGCGGAGGAAAAGAAACUAAGCAGGAUUCUCUUAGUAGUGGCGAAUGAACAGGGAAGAGCCCAAAAUGAAAAUCACGUGCAUGCUGUGCGCGAAUUGUAGUCUGAAGAAGUGUUACCAGUGGGCGUCGCAGAGAAAAGUCUCUUGGAAGAGAACGCCAGAGAGGGUGAGAGUCCCGUCGCGGCUCUGCAGUGCGUCUACAUACGGAUCACUUUCUUAGAGUCGCGUUUCUUGGGAGUGAAACGCAAAGUGGGUGGUAGACUUCAUCUAAGGCUAAAUAGCAAAUGGGAAACCGAUAGCAAAUAAGUACCUUGAGGGAAAGAUGAAAAGGACUUUGAAAAGAGAGUUAAAAUUCCCCGAAAUUGCUGAGAAGUAAGCGGUUGAAAUGCGAGUACAGCCUUGGAAAUAUGUCGCUGGAACGUAGGCUUCCUGGUGCACUCACGUAAAGGAAUGCACUUUGAAGUUGACCGAAGGUUGCGGAUUUCCAGGAGGAAUCAGCUGCGGUUGGUACUGCUGCGUGAGCUACUUGAUCGAACGUGUUCUUCGGAAUCGUUGCAGCUUGUGACUCUUUGCGAGCGGUAUCUGACCGAGGGAGGCGCACUUCUUGGUGCUGCGUAGCUGAUCAGAAAAUUUCCACCGGCCCGUCUUGAAACACGGAUCAAGGAGUCCAACACAUAUGCGUGUCUGCAGGUAGACUAUCCUGUAGGCGAAAUGAAAGUGAACGGUUCCGUCCAGGAACGACCGACCACGAUCGCCGAGAGAGGUUUGAGUACGAGCAUAUCUGUUGGGACCCGAAAGAUGGUGAACUAUUCCUGAAUAGGGUGAAGCCAGGGGAAACCCUGGUGGAGGCUCGUAGCGAUACUGACGUGCAAAUCGUUCGUCAAAUUUGGGUAUAGGGGCGAAAGACUAAUCGAACCAUCUAGUAGCUGGUUCCCUC